Molecule: unclassified non-coding RNA, 345 nt
Filed under: soil metagenome
Description: partial contains 5.8S ribosomal RNA, internal transcribed spacer 2, and large subunit ribosomal RNA
Rfam family: 5.8S ribosomal RNA (bases 1-119)
Source: RNAcentral
GAUGAAGAACGUAGCGAAAUGCGAUACGUAAUGUGAAUUGCAAAUUCAGUGAAUCAUCGAGUCUUUGAACGCACAUUGCGCCCCCUGGUAUUCCGGGGGGCAUGCCUGUCCGAGCGUCAUUGCUGCCCUCAAGCACGGCUUGUGUGUUGGGCCCCGUCCUGCGAUCCCGGGGGACGGGCCCGAAAGGCAGCGGCGGCACCGCGUCCGGUCCUCGAGCGUAUGGGGCUUUGUCACCCGCUCUGUAGGCCCGGCCGGCGCUUGCCGAUCAACCCAAAUUUUUAUCCAGGUUGACCUCGGAUCAGGUAGGGAUACCCGCUGAACUUAAGCAUAUCAAUAAGCGGAGGA